GCCAGAGUGGCGGAAUGGCAGACGCGCUGGAUUCAAAAUCCAGUAGGAGCAAUCCUGUGUGGGUUCGAGUCCCACCUCUGGUA
RNAcentral lists this transfer RNA (83 nucleotides) under Planctomycetales bacterium. Its description in RNAcentral is "tRNA-Leu". It matches the Rfam family "tRNA". From Rfam's summary of the family: Transfer RNA (tRNA) molecules are approximately 80 nucleotides in length. Their secondary structure includes four short double-helical elements and three loops (D, anti-codon, and T loops). The record is from RNAcentral. Lineage: Bacteria; Pseudomonadati; Planctomycetota; Planctomycetia; Planctomycetales.